Molecule: ribosomal RNA, 253 nt
Filed under: uncultured bacterium
Lineage: Bacteria
Description: partial 16S ribosomal RNA
Rfam family: Bacterial small subunit ribosomal RNA
Source: RNAcentral
GACAGAGGAGCCAAGCGUUGUCCGGAUUGACUGGGCGUAAAGCGCACGCAGGCGGAUGCGCGCGUGGGGUGUGAAAUCUGGCCGCUUAACGGCCAGGCGCCAUCCCAUACGGCGCGUCUGGAGUGAUGCAGAGGUCGAUGGAAUCGCCGGUGUAGUGGUGAAAUGCGUAGAGAUCGGCAGGAACACCCAGGGGGAAACCAGUCGACUGGGCAUCUACUGACGCUGAGGUGCGAGAGCGUGGGGAGCGAACCGG